AUCACCCAAACCUCAAAAACAAAUGAUUUUACCUUCGGUGCGAGCGGUUCGGCCUCAGCUUGGCUCCCGAUGGUCUCCUCUUGGCCACCUAGCAGCUCCCUAACUUUCUUGAGGUUCGGAUGGUAAUUUCUCAAACCUACAAAUUGAUUAGUAAGCAAAAUAAAAGAAUCCAACGAAAUAAGAAGAGAAGAACGAAAAAAAUGACGAAACGUACCUUUGUUUGCAUUGGCCUCCGCCUUCGCACAUCGUCCCGGUCGUUUUCCUUCCUAUCUUCUUCCAUACAACAUCAAACGCCACCACUCACCGCCUUCGCAACUCUCUCUUUUCUCUUCUUCCCCUUGCGGCAGCCGUUCUCGGCUCUCUCUACCUUCUUCGCUCGGCCACACCUUUUU
This 392-nucleotide long non-coding RNA is filed under the name Carica papaya (papaya). Its description in RNAcentral is "long non-coding RNA (CPAP_LNC003827)". The record is from RNAcentral. Lineage: Eukaryota; Viridiplantae; Streptophyta; Magnoliopsida; Brassicales; Caricaceae.